UGGGACACUGAGUGGCUCCUCCCCCUUUAAAAAAAUAAAAUAAAUAAUAGCCAGUUGUUCAAGAACAGCAAUUUCGUCAAGGUGAUAAAAAAAAUAAAAAUAUAUUUAAAUGUUGGGGUGGGACACUUCAGAUUCUAGAGAGCAUUUGAUUGGACAGAAAAUCCGAUGAGAAGCUGAAGUGCAAAAUUGCAUAUAGAUAACCUUAAGUCUAACAUCUUCAUACUAAAAAGUCACAACUUCGCUUUUGAUUUCAUGGGGACUUUAAAGACUGAAUAUAACUGUGCUGUUCUGUACGUCAGUGUUUCGUUUUAUUUGUGUAUCUGUGUUUCUUAUAAGUGCUGAUGGUUUUAACUGCCCAGCUCAUGGCCUGUACUGAAGCUGUUAAGUUAAACUCUUGUCCUCAUCACAGUGGCUGGCCGUGGACGAGGGAGAGGACGCGGCAGAGAAAGAGGACGUGUCACAAUUCGAGGUUGAGCCAGAAGCAGGUGCAGAUAAUGACAUUUAUUGAAGGAAACGUACUAAGAAACGAAUACACUGACAACUUGGAAACACACUGUGGCAUGAAAAAACACAGACAUAAACAUGAAUCUAAGACUACUUGGCAGAAUACUGUGGCAAAAUUAAACAAACUAACAAGAUCAAGAAACAUGGAACACAGGGGGUCUAAGACAACGAAAGACAAGCUAAUGGUGCCGACAAGGACUAUAUACACAUGAGUGCUCAUUAGCCAAAACAUCAGGUGCAGGUGGCCAUGUGACAACUAGAGCAGUGCAGUGGCUGAUGGGAAGUGGAGUCCAGAGUUUCCCGAUACGUGACAGAACCCUCCCCCAAGGGCGCUACUCCCGGAGCGCCCAAAAUUAUACCUCCUCCAUCUGGUGGUCCUGACUCCCUGGAGAAAAUGUCCCCCGCAAAACCAGGAGGCCGGGCGGCUUCUACAAUGGCACAGGGAGGCUGAGAUAUUUCCUCGGCAGAGCAUGAAAGCGGGGCGACGUGCUCCACGGGACAGGAGAGGGGAGCGAGGUUCUCCGCGAGGCCCGGGAGAGGAGCGACGUCCUCCGCGGAGCAGGGAGGCGGAGCGAAGUCCCCUGUAAGGCCAGGGAGAGGAGCGUGGGUCUCCUCGAAGCAGAAGGGGGGAACGCUAUCUGCCAUGGGGCAGGGAGGCUGAGCGACGUCCAUAGCUGAACAGGGAGGCUGAGCGACGUACUCAGCAGAGUGGGCAGGCUGAACGAGAGCCAUAAUAGGGGAGGGAGAUGGUAUUAGCCCCGACCACAAACUCCCACUUGUACCUGGCGACCUGCUGCUUUCGUAGCGCAGCUUGGUAAUCUUCCGACUGUUGGCGUAACGUGGCAAAGUACUCCACUAACAUCGGUGGCAUCCUGACGCCCCAGUUAUCCAUCCUGGCGAUCUGCUGCUUCUGGUUGUAGGUCUUUCGUUCCGUCACAAUUCGAGGUUGAGCCAGAAGCAGGUGCAGAUAAUGACAUUUAUUGAAGGAAACGUACUAAGAAACGAAUACACUAUGACAACUUGGAAACACACUGUGGCAUGAAACAAACACUGAGACAUAAACAACAUGAAUCUAAGACUACUUGGCAGAAUACUGUGGCAAAACUAAACAUAAACUAACAAGAUCAAGAAACAUGGAACACAGGGGAUCUAAGACAACGAAAGACAAGCUAAUGGUGCCGACAAGGACUAUAUAUACACAUGAGUGCUCAUUAACCAAAACAUGAAUCAGGUGCAGGUGGUCAUGUGACAACUAGAGCAGUGCAGUGGCUGAUGGGAAGUGGAGUCCAGAGUUUCCCGAUACGUGACAACGUGGAAGAGGUGGACCGAGGAGAUGAAUCAUUUAAGCGCCGCUCCUUUUUCCAUGGCUGGCCGUGGACGAGGAAGAGGGAGAGGACGCGGCAGAGAAAGAGGAUGUGGAAGAGGUGGACCGAGGAGAUGAAUCAUUUAAGCGCCGCUCCUUUUUCCAGUGUUUUUUUUUUUUUUUUUUUCCCAUUUGGAAAUAUUGAUGAAUUUUUCUUUUGUACAUUAAACUCAACUUUUUUGAGAAGUGCUUUUUGUCCAUCAGUGAUUUGAUUGAUGUGAUGUCUCAUUAAUUAAGAUUUGCAUGGUUCUAUUUUUUUUUGUUCUAGUGAUAUUCAAGAUCAAAGUUCUGGGAAUUAAAAUAUUAAAGGAUUAUCGUUUGAUUUGUGUUGCCCUGAGCAGGAAGUCUCGUUUACAUGUUUGUGUUCUCUGCAGUUGAUCAAAUGGAGGACUAGCUGCCUUUAAUAAUAAAAGGUGGAAGAAACUAUGCAGAGAGAGAGAGAGAGAGAGAGAGAGAGCGAGCGAGAGAGAGAUGCAACACCUAUAGAAAUUUCCUCUUGGAUUUUUUUGCAGGCUGCUGACUGACGCCAGCUUCUUCCUCAUCCUCAUGGUUAGAACACUCUGGCUCACUGUCUGUCUGAUUUACUAUUGGAUUUUGUGGUCGAUUUACAGGCUUUAGAUUAGGAAUAGCUGUUAAAUGCAAUAACAUUGCAAUAAGUCUGGAUUCGGAAGAGGCAAACCAGACUUUUUUUGCAGGCUGCUGACUGGUGCCAGCUUCUUCCUCAUCCUCAUGGUUAGAACACUCUGGCUCACUGUCUGUCUGAUUUACUAUUGGAUUUUCAUCACGCUGAAGAUUAGCCAUAUCACUAAAGCCCGGUGAUAUUUCAAGAUCAAAGAUUUCUGAAGAGCCGAGCCUUGUUUUUUUUGCAGGCUGCUGACUGAAGGCAGUUUGUUCCUCAUCCUCAUGGUCGUCCCGGCAUCGUUUAAGAUUGCAGAGUGAAGUUUUACAGCAAUGUGACUCGCUUUCUGUCUGAUUUACCCUCAUAUUUCCAUCAGGCCAACCAGGGCCAUGAAGUUGCUGGCGAAUCAUUGCAAGGGGUUCGUGGUUGUCCUCAUCAUUGUCACCUUCAUGAGGAGACUUGCAUUUAUUCUUGACUUUUUUUGCAGGCUGCUGACUGGCACCAGCUUCUUCCUCAUCCUCAUGGUUAGAACAAUCUGGCUCACUGUCUGUCUGAUUUACUAUUGGGUUUUCAUCAGGACCACCAGGGAUGGGCGGUUGGUUGUCAAUCAUCGCAAAGGUUUCGUAGUUCUUACUGCCAUUGUCACCGUCACAAGAUGACUUAACUUGCACUUCAUGUUCAUAAGGCCCACCAGGGCCAUGAAGUUGCUGGCGAAUCAUUGCUUCAUGGUAGUCACCAUCAUUGUCACCUUCACGAGGAGACUUGAACUGCCGUUUAUGUGAGCCUGUUCUAAAGCUGGACUUUUGUCGUUCAUUAACAGGCUUCUGUAAAUGCACAUCUCCUUUACUUGUUUGUAUGGCAAGGUUGUCAACAUCUCUGAUGCAUGAAGAACGGCACUCCUCACCAUGCACAGUGCUGCAGGUGUGGCCUUCU
Ictalurus punctatus (channel catfish) is the source of this 3419-nucleotide long non-coding RNA. The record is from Ensembl. Lineage: Eukaryota; Metazoa; Chordata; Actinopteri; Siluriformes; Ictaluridae.